UACCAGGCAUAGUAGAGCUAUAGU
RNAcentral lists this non-coding RNA (24 nucleotides) under Cricetulus griseus (Chinese hamster). The record is from RNAcentral. Lineage: Eukaryota; Metazoa; Chordata; Mammalia; Rodentia; Cricetidae.